Molecule: ribosomal RNA, 488 nt
Filed under: uncultured bacterium
Lineage: Bacteria
Description: bacterial SSU rRNA
Rfam family: Bacterial small subunit ribosomal RNA
Source: RNAcentral
UGAACGCUAGCUACAGGCUUAACACAUGCAAGUCGAGGGGCAGCAUGAACAUAGCUUGCUAUGUUUGAUGGCGACCGGCGCACGGGUGCGUAACACGUAUCCAAUCUGCCCGUUACUCGGGGAUAGCCUUCUGAAAGGAAGAUUAAUACCCGAUGGCAUGUAUUUCCGGCAUCGGAGAUACAUUAAAGAUUUAUCGGUAACGGAUGAGGAUGCGUACGAUUAGCUGGUUGGCGGGGUAACGGCCCACCAAGGCGACGAUCGUUAGGGGUUCUGAGAGGAAGGUCCCCCACACUGGAACUGAGACACGGUCCAGACUCCUACGGGAGGCAGCAGUGAGGAAUAUUGGUCAAUGGUCGAGAGACUGAACCAGCCAAGUAGCGUGAAGGAUGACUGCCCUACGGGUUGUAAACUUCUUUUGUUUGGGAAUAAAUGAUACUACGUGUAGUAUUUUGCAUGUACCUUACGAAUAAGCAUCGGCUAAUUCCGUG